Molecule: non-coding RNA, 73 nt
Organism: Sporosarcina psychrophila
Lineage: Bacteria; Bacillati; Bacillota; Bacilli; Caryophanales; Caryophanaceae
Source: Rfam
GGGGCAUUAGCUCAGCUGGGAGAGUGUCACGCUGGCAGUGUGAAGGUCAGGGGUUCGAGCCCCCUAUGCUCCA